AACCUGCCCCUAAGUCUGGGAUACCAUUUGGAAACAGGUGCUAAUACCGGAUAAUAAAGCAGAUCGCAUGAUCAGCUUUUGAAAGGCGGCGUAAGCUGUCGCUAAGGGAUGGCCCCGCGGUGCAUUAGCUAGUUGGUAAGGUAACGGCUUACCAAGGCGACGAUGCAUAGCCGAGUUGAGAGACUGAUCGGCCACAUUGGGACUGAGACACGGCCCAAACUCCUACGGGAGGCAGCAGUAGGGAAUCUUCCACAAUGGACGCAAGUCUGAUGGAGCAACGCCGCGUGAGUGAAGAAGGUUUUCGGAUCGUAAAGCUCUGUUGUUGGUGAAGAAGGAUAGAGGUAGUAACUGGCCUUUAUUUGACGGUAAUCAACCAGAAAGUCACGGCUAACUACGUGCCAGCAGCCGCGGUAAUACGUAGGUGGCAAGCGUUGUCCGGAUUUAUUGGGCGUAAAGCGAGCGCAGGCGGAAAAAUAAGUCUAAUGUGAAAGCCCUCGGCUUAACCGAGGAACUGCAUCGGAAACUGUUUUUCUUGAGUGCAGAAGAGGAGAGUGGAACUCCAUGUGUAGCGGUGGAAUGCGUAGAUAUAUGGAAGAACACCAGUGGCGAAGGCGGCUCUCUGGUCUGCAACUGACGCUGAGGCUCGAAGCAUGGGUAGCGAACAGG
RNAcentral lists this ribosomal RNA (666 nucleotides) under uncultured Bacilli bacterium. Its description in RNAcentral is "bacterial SSU rRNA". It matches the Rfam family "Bacterial small subunit ribosomal RNA", at positions 123 to 776 of the family's 1533-position model. Lineage: Bacteria; Bacillati; Bacillota; Bacilli. The record is from RNAcentral.